UAGGGAAUCUUCCGCAAUGGACGAAAGUCUGACGGAGCAACGCCGCGUGAGUGAUGAAGGUUUUCGGAUCGUAAAACUCUGUUGUUAGGGAAGAACAAGUACCGUUCGAAUAGGGCGGUACCUUGACGGUACCUAACCAGAAAGCCACGGCUAACUACGUGCCAGCAGCCGCGGUAAUACGUAGGUGGCAAGCGUUGUCCGGAAUU
Molecule: ribosomal RNA, 206 nt
Filed under: uncultured Bacillus sp.
Lineage: Bacteria; Bacillati; Bacillota; Bacilli; Caryophanales; Bacillaceae
Description: partial 16S ribosomal RNA
Rfam family: Bacterial small subunit ribosomal RNA
Source: RNAcentral